UUACGGGAGGCAGCAGUGAGGAAUAUUGGUCAAUGGGCGCAAGCCUGAACCAGCCAUCCCGCGUGCAGGAAGAAGGCGCUAUGCGUUGUAAACUGCUUUUGCAGGGGAAGAAUGUUCUGUAUGUAUACGGGAUUGACGGUACCUUGUGAAUAAGCAUCGGCUAACUCCGUGCCAGCAGCCGCGGUAAUACGGAGGAUGCGAGCGUUAUCCGGAUUUAUUGGGUUUAAAGGGUGCGUAGGCGGAUUGAUAAGUCAGUGGUGAAAUACUGCAGCUUAACUGUAGAAUUGCCGUUGAUACUGUCAGUCUUGAGUAUGGUUAAGGUAGGCGGAAUGUGUAAUGUAGCGGUGAAAUGCUUAGAUAUUACACAGAACACCGAUUGCGAAGGCAGCUUACUGAGCCAAAACUGACGCUGAGGCACGAAAGCGUGGGGAGCGAACAGGAUUAGAUACCCCGGUAGA
Molecule: ribosomal RNA, 458 nt
Filed under: uncultured bacterium
Lineage: Bacteria
Description: bacterial SSU rRNA
Rfam family: Bacterial small subunit ribosomal RNA
Source: RNAcentral